RNAcentral lists this non-coding RNA (30 nucleotides) under Mus musculus (house mouse). The record is from RNAcentral. Lineage: Eukaryota; Metazoa; Chordata; Mammalia; Rodentia; Muridae.
UGUUAGGAUGGUAUAGUGAACAAGGUCAAG